CCUAAUUGUCAUUGUAUUAGUGUAAGUGUCGGUGCGAGAGCAUUUAGUUUGUGCGCGUCAUCUCCUUUGAUCGGUCGUUCGUUGUGCGGGUGCGUGUAUAAAUUCAUGUGUUUUUCAAAUAAGUGAGUUACAUUAUUAUAAUUGUGUUAAAUGCGAUAAGUGAGUGAAAUAUAAUAUGUACAUAUAUUAAUCCUUAAGCCUGUCGGCAUACUUAGAGGCUUCCUUAACAAUCGGUAAAAUAUGGCAGAGCUGGAGAGCUUUUUGUUUUUGGCGCGCGUUGGCACUUGGAGAGAGAGAGAGUGUGUGAGAGAGAGAGAGUGGAAGAGAACGACUGUCAGCGAACCGAGCGAGCCAACUGCCGUGUGCUGAAACGGGGGCGCUUGCUAUCCUUUGGAGCAGAGAACUCUAUGUGGAGGACAUGCCUUGUAGCAUUGUGUAAAACGCUUGUUAACAUUUACCCCAACGACAAAAUUUUGUAAAAGCCUGUGACAGUUUUCAGCGUAAGCAAAAGCGCACAAAUCUCCACACACACUGAUUUGCAAAGAGAGAACGGAAUUUAAAUUAGUCGAAGCGACUGUUUACAAAAAAAAAGUGGAUGACGAAUAGAGAGUGUCAAGCGAAUAGAGCAAAUGUUACAUACAAAUGACUUUUCGGAAUAUUAAAAAAUCAGGGCAAAGUAAUGAAGAGAGAAAAAUUCGAGACUCAGUUGUACGCAGCUUGUUGAAAUAUCUUGGAUGACAUAAGUUCUUGUUAUGAUAUAUUUCUUAAUGCUUCCGAUAUACUUUACUUUAUUAAAACUAUAUAUCACAUCAUGGCUUUUUACAAUAGUUAA
This is a long non-coding RNA of Drosophila virilis, 832 nucleotides long. RefSeq lists it as uncharacterized. NCBI's taxonomy places the organism in Eukaryota, Metazoa, Arthropoda, Insecta, Diptera, Drosophilidae. The record is from RefSeq and is a predicted model, not a curated record.